RNAcentral lists this ribosomal RNA (428 nucleotides) under uncultured bacterium. RNAcentral's name for it is "bacterial SSU rRNA". It matches the Rfam family "Bacterial small subunit ribosomal RNA", at positions 471 to 897 of the family's 1533-position model. The record is from RNAcentral.
GACGGUACCCGCAGAAGAAGCACCGGCUAACUACGUGCCAGCAGCCGCGGUAAUACGUAGGGUGCGAGCGUUAAUCGGAAUUACUGGGCGUAAAGCGUGCGCAGGCGGUUUAUUAAGACAGAUGUGAAAUCCCCGGGCUCAACCUGGGAACUGCAUUUGUGACUGGUAGGCUAGAGUGUGGCAGAGGGGGGUAGAAUUCCACGUGUAGCAGUGAAAUGCGUAGAGAUGUGGAGGAAUACCGAUGGCGAAGGCAGCCCCCUGGGUUAACACUGACGCUCAUGCACGAAAGCGCGGGGAGCAAACAGGAUUAGAUACCCUGGUAGUCCACGCCCUAAACGAUGUCAACUAGGUGUUGGGGGAGGAGACUUCCUUAGUACCGCAGCUAACGCGUGAAGUUGACCGCCUGGGGAGUACGGCCGCAAGGUGAA